Molecule: ribosomal RNA, 404 nt
Filed under: uncultured Bradyrhizobiaceae bacterium
Lineage: Bacteria; Pseudomonadati; Pseudomonadota; Alphaproteobacteria; Hyphomicrobiales; Nitrobacteraceae
Description: bacterial SSU rRNA
Rfam family: Bacterial small subunit ribosomal RNA
Source: RNAcentral
GGGGAAUAUUGGGCAAUGGGCGCAAGCCUGACCCAGCAACGCCGCGUGAAGGAAGAAGGCUCUCGGGUUGUAAACUUCUUUUAUUCGGGACGAAAAAAAUGACGGUACCGCAAGAAUAAGCCCCGGCUAACUUCGUGCCAGCAGCCGCGGUAAUACGAAGGGGGCUAGCGUUGCUCGGAAUCACUGGGCGUAAAGGGUGCGUAGGCGGGUUUCUAAGUCAGAGGUGAAAGCCUGGAGCUCAACUCCAGAACUGCCUUUGAUACUGGAAGUCUUGAGUUCGGGAGAGGUGAGUGGAACUGCGAGUGUAGAGGUGAAAUUCGUAGAUAUUCGCAAGAACACCAGUGGCGAAGGCGGCUCACUGGCCCGAUACUGACGCUGAGGCACGAAAGCGUGGGGAGCAAACA